GUUAAGGUCAUGAACGUUUUUCCCUUGCCGUGAGAAGCCGUUACUCUGAUACCGUGCGCAGUUCACAGAGAGACACCAUAGUCUCUUUCUUUCUCCAAUAGAUUCAACACACAACGUAACAUAAUAGCAAUUGCAGAACACAGGAUUUCGAUUAUGUUCAUUGAAGAGCGAGGGUUGUUAAUCUGGUGAUGGGUAAGUGGAGGAAAGCGACGGCAUAAAGGAAUCGUUCAGAAAUUUGUUGUUUGUAAAAACUAGGGUUGCGAAAUGGAGGGAGAGGAUAUUAGGUCUGGGACCAGGAAGAAGCGAUCCAAGAAGGAAAUUGGUUUUGACUCUGACGACGACGAGCCCAUUGGCUCAAUCUUUAAGCUGAAGAGGUCCAAGAGGAAGGGUAGUGGUGGUGGUGAGGCUGUUAGGGAGAAGGAGGAUUUGGGGGGUAUGGAUGAUAAUGAUACCUUGGCUAGCUUUAGGAAGAGAUUGAAGGGUCCUAAAAGAGAUCAGGGAUCUGGGUUUGGAAGAGGAGCAAGUCCUGCCUUGCAUGUGUCUGAUGAAGAAUUGGUUGGAUUGGGAGCUAAGGAUAAGGAUGAGAAAGGGGUCGCCUUGGUGCCUGCUGGUGAGGACAUGCAGAUGGAGGAUUCUUCUGAUCAACACAUGGAGGAUUCGUUGUCUGCGAUUUUUCACAAGGCGCAGUCUAGUUCUGCUAGGAAAUCUCGUGGGAUUUCGAGACAGAAAAGGGGGAUUCAGAAGGUGGAUAGUGGGUUGUGCCCUGGAGGUUUUGUGGAAACUGUGGAUUCUGGGGUUGAAAGUAGAUCCGGAUCUGCUUCUGGCUCGAAAUUGGUUGGGGGGAAUGCCAUGUCUGAUGAUGCUUUGCCUCAAGCAUCUGAACCGGUUGUCACAUCCAUGGUGGAGGAUCAGAAGUGUGUUAGUGACUGUUUUCAAGAGGGAACUGUAAAGGGUGAAUGUGAUUUGGACAUUCCAGGUGGACGGAAUCAGUCAAAUGAUGUCUACCGUGAAGAUGGGAAGCAAUUUUCUUGUGUUGUACAAGCUGAAGAUAUUUCUUGUGAUUCUGACAAGAAGGUUGCACUGCAGGAAAGUGGUGUUAUCAGUGGUGAUUUACAUAAGUUAUCUUCUAUGUUAAACGAUGAAAUAGUUGAUACUGCCUCUCUCUCAAAACUGGGGGAAGGGGAAAGACAAUUUACUGAGGUCCGGGAGCUUGAGAAUAGAUUGACUGAUGACCUAGUACAAGCAUGCAACAGUGCUCCAGAACAUGAUAUUUCUACUUCUUCAGGGGAAAAAAAUGUCUUGAAAUCUUCGCACAUUGAACCCUUGAUUAAAUCAACUGAAAAUGCUUUGAAUGAGAAUAAUGAUAUGGUUUCUGGAAAAGAUUGUCAGGAAUUCUCGAGUAAUGGAGCUCUAAAGUUAUUUGGAUGCCAUAUGGAAGCAGAUGGAGCUGGAAAAUCAGAAACUGAGUUUGUUUCUGAUAGAAAUUUCUGUGAUUAUAGUAAUUUAGAUACAAAGGCCGAAGUGCAUGAUUUUGUUCUAGGUUUUUCACCUAAAAGAAAUGAUGUAACUGUCAGUGGUUCUUCUAUGGUGUCUAAUGAAGCUGAUUUGGCCGCCCACUCAAAUCAUCCCGAGAAACCUGUAGAAGCUCGCAAUAUUCCAAAAGACCCCACUGCUUCUAUUAUGAAAUGUAGCUCGGUUUUAGAUCCAAAUCAAUCGGAUGGAUCCUCUCUUCAAUCUUCAAUUCCAGAUGAAAAUGGGAACUCUGCGGAAUACCAUGCCUCUGUGACUGAUUUUGUCGAUAAUGAUGGUAAAAUAUCAAGCAUUCCAAGGUUGGUGCGAAAGACCAAAAUGCGCAAGCAUGGAGACAUGACAUAUGAGGGGGAUGCUGAUUGGGAGGUUUUAAUUAAUGAUCAAGCUCUAAAUGAAAUUCAAGUUAUGACAGAUGUUGAACGCACUCUUAGAACAAGAAUGAAGCAUGAUUCCUCUUUGAAUACUGGUGAAGACUCUGAAAAUGUUGCAGUAGUGGCAGUAUCAGCUGGGCUGAAAGCCCGUAAAGCCGGUCCAAUCGAGAAAAUAAAGUUUAAAGAGAUCUUGAAACGAAAAGGUGGUCUCAAGGAAUACUUGGAUUGCAGAAAUCAGAUUUUAAGUCUUUGGAGCCGAGAUGUCACACGUAUUUUGCCUCUUGCUGAAUGUGGAGUUAAUGAUACUGAUUUUGAGGAUGGAAGUCCUCGUUCUUCUCUUAUUAGGGAGGUCUAUGCAUUUCUUGAUCAAUAUGGUUAUAUAAAUGUUGGAAUUGCCUCCCAGAAGGAGAAUGUUGGAAGUAGUGCAAGGCACUGUUAUAAGCUGGUAAAAGAAAAAGGUUUUGAGGAAAGUCUCGCAGCUUCAAUGGCCGACUCUGAAGAUGAAGUUUCCUUUCUUGUUGGUCAGACUAAAAUGUCAGAUGCUUCCAAUGAGGUUAACAAUGGUAUUAGAAAGGAUUGCAAUGACCUGACAAUUGAAACUACAGAAGGUAUGGGCCAGAGUAAUGAAGUGAAGGUGGAUUUAUCAAACAUAUCACAACAGGCAGAAGGAAAAAUUUUUGAUUACCAGGAAAAUGAUGGAUUUCAGGAUGGAACUAUUGUCAGUUCCGUUCCUUCUUCCAACUUUGCUGAUUGCAAAUCAACUUCUCUGAUAGCUAAAGAGAAAAACAAUGACUCUACCUGCAUUAAAUCUGUCUGGGAUGGUCAGGCAGGUGACAAUCUGCAGCCUGAUUUAGAUCCUAGAAAGAGAGUAAUUGUGAUUGGAGCUGGGCCUGCUGGGUUAACUGCUGCUCGCCACUUGCAACGUCAAGGAUUUCCUGUUACUGUGCUUGAGGCUAGGAGUAGGAUAGGAGGUCGUGUGUUUACUGAUCACUCCUCACUUUCUGUCCCUGUCGAUCUUGGAGCUAGCAUUAUAACAGGUGUUGAGGCUGAUGUGGCCACUGAGCGGAGACCAGAUCCUUCCUCGUUGAUUUGUGCUCAGUUGGGCCUUGAGUUGACAGUGUUGAACAGUGAUUGCCCUCUUUAUGACAUAGUGACAGAACAAAAAGUUCCUGCAGAUAUGGAUGAAGCACUUGAAGCUGAAUAUAAUACCCUUAUAGAUGACAUGGUAUUGGUUGUUGCUCAGAAAGGUGAACAAGCAAUGAAAAUGUCUCUUGAAGAUGGUUUAGAAUAUGCACUCAAGAUUCGGCGUACUGCACGCACUGAAAGCAGUGAAGAAACUCAAGAAAACAAUUCUGCAGACAGACAAUUUGAUUCCAAAAAGGACAGUUUUGUGGAAAAAAAACUUGAUGAGGAGAUUUUGAGCCCUCAGGAAAGGAGGGUUAUGGAUUGGCACUUUGCUCAUUUGGAGUAUGGUUGUGCUGCUUCACUUAAUGAUGUUUCUCUUCCCUACUGGAAUCAAGAUGAUGUGUAUGGAGGUUUUGGGGGAGCUCAUUGUAUGAUUAAAGGGGGUUACAGUUCCGUUGUUGAGUCUCUGGGAGAAGGAGUUACAAUUCACUUGAACCACAUUGUAACAAAUGUGUCAUAUGGAAUCAAGGAGCCUGGUCAAAGUUAUAAAGUCAAAGUUUCUACAGCAAAUGGCAAUGAGUUCUUUGGUGAUGCUGUCCUUGUUACUGUUCCACUUGGCUGUUUGAAGGCUGAAACUAUAGAGUUCUCCCCUCCUUUGCCACAGUGGAAAUGUUCUUCUGUUCAGCGUCUUGGUUAUGGAGUUCUAAAUAAAGUGGCUUUGGAAUUUCCUAGUGUAUUUUGGGAUGAUGCUGUGGACUACUUUGGAGCAACAGCUGAGGAGAGAAACAGUAGAGGUCACUGCUUUAUGUUCUGGAAUGUCAGGAAAACAGUUGGGGCUCCUGUCCUUAUUGCAUUAGUGGUUGGUAAGGCAGCCAUAGAUGGUCAAAGCUUGAGCUCUUCUGAUCAUGUUAAACAUGCAUUGAAGGUUCUCCGAAAACUUUUUGGGCAGGAUUCAGUUCCAGAUCCUGUUGCCUAUGUUGUGACUGAUUGGGGUAGGGAUCCUUUUAGCUAUGGUGCUUAUUCUUAUGUUGCGGUUGGAGCCUCAGGAGAAGACUAUGAUAUAUUAGGGAGACCAGUUGAUAACUGCUUGUUUUUUGCUGGUGAAGCAACCUGCAAAGAGCACCCAGAUACCGUUGGUGGUGCAAUGAUGAGUGGACUACGAGAGUCUGUUCGCAUAAUUGACAUAUUGAGCACUGGAAAUGAUUAUAUUGCUGAGGUGGAGGCAUUGGAAGCUGCACGGGGACAGUUAGACACUGAAAGGGAUGAAGUGAGGGAUAUAAUAAAGAGACUUGAUGCAGUAGAACUUUCUAACAUAAUGUACAAGAACUCUUUAGAUGGUGCUCAAAUUUUAACCCGGGAAGCUUUGUUAAGGGAAAUGUUCUUUAAUACGAAAACCACUGCUGGACGCUUGCAUGUGGCCAAACAAUUGUUAACUCUUCCUGUUGGAAACUUGAAGUCUUUUGCUGGAAGUAAAGAGGGGCUAGCCAUUCUCAAUUCAUGGAUACUGGAUUCAAUGGGAAAGGAUGGGACCCAACUCUUGAGGCAUUGUUUGCGACUCCUUGUCCGUGUUUCAACUGAUCUUCUUGCUGUACGAUUGUCAGGAAUGGGGAAAACAGUGAAGGAAAAAGUUUGUGUACAUACCAGCCGUGAUAUUCGUGCUAUAGCAAGCCAGUUGGUCAAUGUAUGGCUUGAAGUUUUUCGCAAGGAAAAAGCUUCUAAUGGUGGAUUAAAGUUACCAAGACAAACAACUGCAGUAGAUUUAUCUAAGAGAAAAUCUGCCAAAGAUUCAGCUUCGGGAAAACCACCUCUGGGCACAUAUCAUGGUACCAAUGAGAAUAAAGGAGGCUUGCUGAAUCCUACAUCUGCUGGAAGCAAUUCACCUUCCCAUGCCCAUGUGAAGAAAUUGCACAGCAAACAAGGAAGACAGCUGCCAUCAUAUGACUCAAGGCAUGAAUUCAGUUCUUCCAGGUCCAAAGGUUCAAUAGACAGAGUGGUUACAGAGAAGGAGGAUAACCACUGUGCUAUAUCUGAAGAAGAACAGGCUGCUAUAGCUGCUGCAGAGGCUGCACGUGUUAAAGCUCUUGCUGCUGCUGAGGCAUAUGCUUCUGCAGAAGCCAGAUCCAAUUCGCUGUUACAGCUUCCUAAGAUACCCUCAUUCCAUAAAUUUGCUAGACGUGAGCAGUCUUCACAAAAUGACGAGUGUGAUAGUAGAAAAAGAUGGUCAGGUGGUGUUUUUGGAAGGCAAGAUUGUAUUUCAGAGAUCGACUCCAGGAAUUGCAGAGUUAGGGAUUGGUCUGUUGAUUUCUCUGCUGCUUGUGUCAAUCUUGAUAAUUCCAGAAUGCCAGUUGAUAACCUUUCACAGAGGAGUCAUUCAAAUGAGAUUGCCAGCCAUUUGAAUUUCAGAGAGCACUCAGGAGAAAGUGCUGCUGGGGACAGCAGUAUAUAUACGAAAGCUUGGAUUGACACAGCUGGUGGUGUUGCAAUUAAAGAUCAUCAUGCCAUUGAGAGAUGGCAAUCUCAAGCAGCUGCAGCAGAUUCUUAUUUUUCUAACCCAACCAUUCAUUUGAAGGACGAGGAGGACUCAAAUGCCUGUUCAAAGCUACCAAUCUGGAAGCGUGAUGGUGUUGCUAAUGAGAGCUCUAUUUCACAGGUUACUGUAAAUAAGGAGGCCCUGAAGAGUCAUUCCCGAGCAGCAGAUCAUAUUAAACAGGCUGUUGUGGACUAUGUUGCAUCACUGCUGAUGCCCCUUUAUAAGGCAAGAAAACUAGACAAGGAUGGAUACAAGGCUAUAAUGAAGAAAAGUGCAACAAAGGUCAUGGAGCAAGCUACGGAUGCAGAAAAAGCCAUGACUGUACGCGAGUUUCUAGAUUUUAAGCGGAAGAAUAAGAUUCGCUCCUUUGUGGAUAUACUGAUUGAGAGGCACAUGACAAUGAAAUCAGAUGUGAAAUCUUAAUGUUCUUUGGAUGGGAAUUGUUUGUACUUUGUUGUACGUCUUUUGUAACAGUUGCCAAAGUCUGGUUCUUCUUCCUACUUCAGUUCUCACAGUUUUGAUGGCCAUGAGCAUGAUCUCACAUGAGCACCUCAAUCUGCCUAUGUAAAUGAUCUAGAAGGUAUAAUUAAAAAGACACAACUUGAUCCAUUCACAUCAAGCGGGUUCUAUGGAAUUCCUUCUUGGCAAAAUCUUGAACGGCAUUCCAGAUACAGCUGGUAGAUUGCCAGUAAACAGGCUUCAACACCUAAGCAGACUCAUUGAAAAUAUCAGUUGGAUGUUGAGGGCGAUGGGUAUUGGCAGGUUUGAAGAUGACGGCAGAUACAUCACCUCCUUGCAAACAAGCUCGUCAGUGUAACUAUAAUGAUGAUUCAAAGGACUGCGCCAUGGGAUCCCAACAGCCCAAGACUUUUUAUACGGCUGAGAAAGAUCAUUUCAUUCACUAAUGGGAGGAACUAGGUAUUCUGCAUUUUCCGUUUGUUUUGAUGUAUUUUGGAACUAUUACCUUCUUCAGAACCAAUUUUCAGACUGUCUUCAAGCCACCAGUAUGUGUUAUUGGAUUAAAAAAUGUCGCUGCUGGGGAAAUUAAAUUCCACUGGGUGUAUCUAGGGGUGAGUACAUAUUUUUGUCUUUGCAUUGCAGCAGUCUCCCACUCCUCUCCCCUCCCAAUAGGUCAAACCUGUGAAUUCCUUUCAUAUUGGUUGCACCUAUUUGGUUACCAAGAAUAUCUGUGUUGUUUGCUUGGUGGUACUUUUUUUAUUCACUAGGAGAAUGAGCCCACUUUUUAGUGAUGCUAUUUCAAAAUGGCUGAAUACCCCAGUGGAAAAUUUACCCUCAGAUUCUAUUUUUGACGCAUUUCUGGUAUGAUUCGGUAUCGUUUAUGGGUACAGUACUGUAUAAUACACAUUUUUGUUGUAUCAUCUUGUUAUAACCAUUUUGGCUUUAUGUUUCUAGGUUUGAUGUUGGAUUUUGAAUUCUCAUUCGACAGAGGUCAGAAAGAAUAUGAAAAAAAAACUCAAAUACUGUAUAAUGCAUAGAUGUCACAGCAUACUAUAUCUUCAGAGUUGCCUUGUGUAAAAAAUAUUACGUUCUCUCAGUGUUGAUCUUUGUGCUUCACUGCUUCUGAUAUCUCUUAAUCUUUACAGUGUUGUUUCUCUCUAAAUACCUUUAUAGAUGAAUCGAAAGGUUGUUGCAAUUUAUUUUUCAUAUUUAGUUGGAUUGCCAACCAUUGGAUGUUAAGAUCACAUUCUAGAUAAUAGUUUUGCAUCGGCCAAGUACAGCA
This is an RNA transcript of Vigna radiata var. radiata (mung bean), 7297 nucleotides long. It is a transcript of the gene named lysine-specific histone demethylase 1 homolog 3, with no coding region annotated. The record is from RefSeq and is a predicted model, not a curated record. The transcript is spliced from 12 exons. Lineage: Eukaryota; Viridiplantae; Streptophyta; Magnoliopsida; Fabales; Fabaceae.